Arachis ipaensis is the source of this 1095-nucleotide RNA transcript. RefSeq lists it as uncharacterized. The record is from RefSeq and is a predicted model, not a curated record. NCBI's taxonomy places the organism in Eukaryota, Viridiplantae, Streptophyta, Magnoliopsida, Fabales, Fabaceae.
AAAUACAAAACCGUAGUAUGGGUGUUGCUGGUGGCAUCUGUUGGGUGACAGGUGAUUGUGACUCUCUACCAUCUUCGACUCUGCCAAUGGCUUCAACCGUCUUCACCUCCCCUUCACGCUCUUCUUCUUCUUCUUCUUCUUCUUUUCUGUUCCCGUCGAAUUUUCCCUAAUCCCCCAAACUAACAUCUCUCUCCCGUUCACUAAAAUCAAAGCCCUCUUUCAACUCUUUUUCCCCCACAUAGAUGACGCUUCAAUGUCAUUUCCAUGGCUCCCCCAAGCCGGUGGCAAAGCCAAGAAAGGUAACAUACUACCUUCAAUUUCGUUUCCACUAAGGGGAAUUCUCUCAUUAUAUAUAUAAAAUUGUUGCAAGUGGUUGUGAUAUUCCUUCCCUUUUUUAUGAUGGGUUUUCUCUAUUUUUUGUUUGAGAGAGAUCCAAAAUCCUGUGAGUCAGGCACUCUAUAAUCCUCGACUCUUCUGCUGCCUCCAGAGCUACUGUCAAUCCAAUGUGCUCGAAGCCUACACCCGCCUUCGAAAAGUCGCGAAUGCGUUGAUAUAGGAGUUUUGAAAUUGGGAAUCUGCCUGGCCUAUGGAUGCUUUGUAUGCCAUUGUUUAUGAUAUUAGGCUUCUUGCUGAGAAGAAAGAUUCAUAUGCAGAAAUUGCUGGAUAUUCUACAUAUGCUACCCAAAACAAAUGCUUGGUGAUUAUAGAAGGCACAUAAUGAUCUAUCAAAUCCAGUAAGGUUUUUAUGAUUGUUGUUACUAAUGGGAGCAGAUUUCCGGGACUUGGAGGUCUUGGAGUUCAUGGAACUGGCAUUGCCAUUAGGAAGCUUGAUAUGUAUGUUGCAGCUGUUGUGAUAAGUCCUCAUAUGAUAUAAUGUUGCAUAUCACAAGUAAGAUUGCAUAUUAUGUGAUCACAUGAGUUUUCGUUUGUGGGACAUUGUUGGUGAGUUAUUUCACUAUUUAUCAAAAUUUUUUUUUUUUUGGGAUGUUCUUGGUUUUUCUCCUUUUUUUAAAUAGGCUAAUAAUAUUACAAUAGAUCAAUACCUUUAAGCUACCGUGUAAAUAAUGGAAAUUAAAUAUGAUUAUUAUGUUUAAU